CAGAGAAUAGUUUAUGUAAAAUAUUAACUUUGGAAGUUAAAGAAGGAUAUUAAUUUUUCUCUGA
This 64-nucleotide transfer RNA is filed under the name Asymmetricata circumdata. Its description in RNAcentral is "tRNA-Pro". The record is from RNAcentral. Lineage: Eukaryota; Metazoa; Arthropoda; Insecta; Coleoptera; Lampyridae.